This 276-nucleotide long non-coding RNA is filed under the name Capsella grandiflora. Its description in RNAcentral is "long non-coding RNA (CGRA_LNC000511)". The record is from RNAcentral. Lineage: Eukaryota; Viridiplantae; Streptophyta; Magnoliopsida; Brassicales; Brassicaceae.
UCUCUCUCUCUAUACAUACGCCAUUGUUAUUACAAUCGAAGCUUCAAGUUCUGUUUCUCUGUUUUACUUUUGUUGUUGAAGAAGAAGAAGAGAGGAUGGAGAAAAACACACCGGUGAGGAAACUGAACAUGUCGACGGCGGAUCUAUUAACUUGGCCGGAGAAUCAACCGUUUGAUUCUUCCGCCGCCGUUUUUUCUUCUCGCUCCGCCGUUAGAUCGCACCAGGUACUUGAUUACGCGAUCUUAGCCGUCGGAUUGAUUUUAUUUUACAAAUCAC